This 750-nucleotide ribosomal RNA is filed under the name uncultured bacterium. RNAcentral describes it as "bacterial SSU rRNA". It matches the Rfam family "Bacterial small subunit ribosomal RNA", at positions 28 to 776 of the family's 1533-position model. The record is from RNAcentral.
GAUGAACGCUGGCGGCGUGCUUAACACAUGCAAGUCGAGCGAAGCGCUCUGUCCGGAUUCUUUCGGGAUGACGGACUUAGUGACUGAGCGGCGGACGGGUGAGUAACGCGUGGGUAACCUGCCUCAUACAGGGGGAUAACAGUUAGAAAUGACUGCUAAUACCGCAUAAGACCACAGUACCGCAUGGUACAGGGGUAAAAACUCCGGUGGUAUGAGAUGGAUCCGCGUCUGAUUAGCUGGUUGGUGGGGUAACGGCCUACCAAGGCGACGAUCAGUAGCCGGCCUGAGAGGGCGACCGGCCACAUUGGGACUGAGACACGGCCCAAACUCCUACGGGAGGCAGCAGUGGGGAAUAUUGCACAAUGGGGGAAACCCUGAUGCAGCGACGCCGCGUGAAGGAAGAAGUAUUUCGGUAUGUAAACUUCUAUCAGCAGGGAAGAAAAUGACGGUACCUGACUAAGAAGCCCCGGCUAACUACGUGCCAGCAGCCGCGGUAAUACGUAGGGGGCAAGCGUUAUCCGGAUUUACUGGGUGUAAAGGGAGCGUAGACGGAAAGGCAAGUCUGAUGUGAAAGCCCGGGGCUCAACCCCGGGACUGCAUUGGAAACUGUUUUUCUGGAGUGUCGGAGAGGUAAGCGGAAUUCCUAGUGUAGCGGUGAAAUGCGUAGAUAUUAGGAGGAACACCAGUGGCGAAGGCGGCUUACUGGACGAUCACUGACGUUGAGGCUCGAAAGCGUGGGGAGCAAACAGG